GAUACGGGUGGUCGGCUCCCUGCUUGAGCAGGCACGGCCACGCGUGCAUUCCUUUUCAGUUGUGCGGCAAGGCUUGUAUCGUCUUGAUCGUAUAAGUGGGUUUCUUGUGUUGCAUACCUGAUCAAUGGCAUCGUUUUGAUCAAAAUGGUACCUUUUUCGUCUGACGAUGCACUUAUUGCGUUGUCGGAUGAACCGUGUAGCAUCCUCUUUGAUCCAUACAGUUGACGUGUACUCGUUGAUUGUUUGGCCCGUUGAGGGUGACUUGGUCUCUCGGAUAUGGAAGCCAAAGUGGGCAUGGGUUCGCAAGAUCCCUUUAUUGCCCUCAUUGAGCGUUCUCGCUUCUCUUACACGACUGCCUUUCACGUAUGGCACGUCCCAGCGUGUUUGGCUAUGUCGAAGAGGAAU
This 405-nucleotide unclassified non-coding RNA is filed under the name Solidago riddellii. RNAcentral describes it as "partial external transcribed spacer". Lineage: Eukaryota; Viridiplantae; Streptophyta; Magnoliopsida; Asterales; Asteraceae. The record is from RNAcentral.